UCACUUCACAAAAACUAUCGCCAUCACUAACAAACAAAACAAACCAAAAUGUAAACAAUGCAAACAAUUAGGAGUGACGGGAAAUAUAUGGUGUUUUGGUGGCUAUUGGUGACCUAGCCAAGCACGCCCACCCAACCAAGGAUGCCCCGGAGGAUUCUGCGGAGGCAUCACCCAUAAUCAGCUGGUCCAAGUCACUCCUCGCGACUAGGACAGCUCCAUCUCCCCCACAACGACAACUCACUCGUACAUUUCAGUCUUCAUGUACAUUUAAUAUCCACACCUCUACGACCAAACUUGGCCACCGUCUCCAAAUUUAACCGGUCAAAGCGGAAGAUUACCUUCCUUUGGCAAAGGCUACAGGCGCCGCGGAAAUAAUGUUCCACCAGUCACUUAUUGGUGGAACUCGCAUUGAACGAGGCGCACAAAAGCACACACACGGUUAGUGUGUCGGGUCACCUAAUCCUGAGGAGCUCCUGGGGAAAAGAAGGGACAGGCCAAACGGCAACAACGAGGACAAGAAUUGAGGUUUUCGGGUCUAAGUCCGGAUAAAUUUACAGGUCAACAGGCGCCGGGCUAACUAUGCCCCGACCACAGUGUACUCUGCCGGAGACCAGCAGCAGCAAGGGCCUGGAACACCCCGAGGAGCGGUGGCGAAGGCGAGCCUGAUGGCGGUGCCUCUCAACGCCGCGCGCACUGGCAGCCUUACGACCCCAAAACAGGUGGGUCUUAAUAGCCCGGAACGGACUCACCGGCGUAUAUAAGAAAGCGUUGGCGGCGUCCGAGGAUGACGAGUUAUGGUGUCCAAAACGUAUCUCUGGGUUGUAAGAAG
This is a long non-coding RNA of Drosophila rhopaloa, 829 nucleotides long. RefSeq lists it as uncharacterized. Lineage: Eukaryota; Metazoa; Arthropoda; Insecta; Diptera; Drosophilidae. The record is from RefSeq and is a predicted model, not a curated record. The transcript has 4 exons.